RNAcentral lists this unclassified non-coding RNA (244 nucleotides) under uncultured fungus. RNAcentral describes it as "sequence contains ITS1, 5.8S rRNA gene". The stretch from base 196 to 244 matches the Rfam family "5.8S ribosomal RNA", at positions 1 to 49 of the family's 154-position model. Lineage: Eukaryota; Fungi. The record is from RNAcentral.
UUUUCGUAGGUGAACCUGCGGAAGGAUCAUUACCGAGUUGUGUCUCUUUCGAGAGCCAUCUCCACCCUGUGCGAACUAAAUUUGUUGCUUUGGCGGGCCACAGCCUAGCUGCCACCGGUUCAUCUGGUGAGCGCCCGCCAGAGGUCUUUUAAAAUCUAUUUUAUGUGACGUCUGAGCAAAAUAAUAAAUGCGAAAAACUUUCAACAACGGAUCUCUUGGUUCUGGCAUCGAUGAAGAACGCAGC